This 484-nucleotide ribosomal RNA is filed under the name uncultured bacterium. RNAcentral describes it as "partial 16S ribosomal RNA". It matches the Rfam family "Bacterial small subunit ribosomal RNA", at positions 41 to 507 of the family's 1533-position model. The record is from RNAcentral.
GGCGUGCCUAAUACAUGCAAGUCGAGCGAACAGAUGAGGAGCUUGCUCCUCUGACGUUAGCGGCGGACGGGUGAGUAACACGUGGAUAACCUACCUAUAAGACUGGGAUAACUUCGGGAAACCGGAGCUAAUACCGGAUAAUAUAUUGAACCGCAUGGUUCAAUAGUGAAAGACGGUUUUGCUGUCACUUAUAGAUGGAUCCGCGCCGCAUUAGCUAGUUGGUAAGGUAACGGCUUACCAAGGCAACGAUGCGUAGCCGACCUGAGAGGGUGAUCGGCCACACUGGAACUGAGACACGGUCCAGACUCCUACGGGAGGCAGCAGUAGGGAAUCUUCCGCAAUGGGCGAAAGCCUGACGGAGCAACGCCGCGUGAGUGAUGAAGGUCUUCGGAUCGUAAAACUCUGUUAUUAGGGAAGAACAAAUGUGUAAGUAACUAUGCACGUCUUGACGGUACCUAAUCAGAAAGCCACGGCUAACUACGUG